GCCAGCAGCCAUAUCACCCUGAGGCUCACAGCUGGCAGCCCACUGAAGCUCAGCAGGUGUGAGCCUGGUCAGUCCCUGGAUGGGAGACCUCUGGGAAAAACUAGGGUUGCUGCUGGAA
Molecule: ribosomal RNA, 118 nt
Filed under: Lepisosteus oculatus (spotted gar)
Lineage: Eukaryota; Metazoa; Chordata; Actinopteri; Semionotiformes; Lepisosteidae
Source: RNAcentral